CAUGUCUAGUAUAGCAUUAUACCGUGAAACUGCGAAUGGCUCAUUAAAUCAGUUAUCGUUUAUUUGAUAGUACCUUACUACUUGGAUAACCGUGGUAAUUCUAGAGCUAAUACAUGCUGAAAACCCCGACUUCGGAAGGGGUGUAUUUAUUAGAUAAAAAACCAAUGCCCUUCGGGGCUCCUUGGUGAUUCAUAAUAACUUCUCAGAUCGCAUGGCCUUGCGCCGGCGACGGUUCAUUCAAAUUUCUGCCCUAUCAACUUUCGAUGGUAAGGUAUUGGCUUACCAUGGUUUCAACGGGUAACGGGGAAUUAGGGUUCGAUUCCGGAGAGGGAGCCUGAGAAACGGCUACCACAUCCAAGGAAGGCAGCAGGCGCGCAAAUUACCCAAUCCCGACACGGGGAGGUAGUGACAAUAAAUACUGAUACAGGGCUCUUUUGGGUCUUGUAAUUGGAAUGAGUACAAUUUAAACCUCUUAACGAGGAACAAUUGGAGGGCAAGUCUGGUGCCAGCAGCCGCGGUAAUUCCAGCUCCAAUAGCGUAUAUUAAAGUUGUUGCAGUUAAAAAGCUCGUAGUUGAACCUUUGGCCUGGCUGGCAGGUCCGCCUCACCGCGUGCACUUGUCCGGCCGGGCCUUCUCUUCUGGAGAACCGCAUGCCCUUCACUGGGUGUGUUGGGGACCAGGACUUUUACUUUGAAAAAAUUAGAGUGUUCAAAGCAGGCCUUUGCUCGAAUACGUUAGCAUGGAAUAAUAGAAUAGGACGUGCGGUCCUAUUUUGUUGGUUUCUAGGACCGCCGUAAUGAUUAAUAGGGACAGUCGGGGGCAUCAGUAUUCAAUUGUCAGAGGUGAAAUUCUUGGAUUUAUUGAAGACUAACUACUGCGAAAGCAUUUGCCAAGGAUGUUUUCAUUAAUCAGUGAACGAAAGUUAGGGGAUCGAAGACGAUCAGAUACCGUCGUAGUCUUAACCAUAAACUAUGCCGACUAGGGAUCGGGCGGUGUUAUUAUUUUGACUCGCUCGGCACCUUACGAGAAAUCAAAGUG
RNAcentral lists this ribosomal RNA (1038 nucleotides) under Setoseptoria bambusae. RNAcentral's name for it is "SSU rRNA". It matches the Rfam family "Eukaryotic small subunit ribosomal RNA", at positions 54 to 1105 of the family's 1831-position model. Lineage: Eukaryota; Fungi; Ascomycota; Dothideomycetes; Pleosporales; Lentitheciaceae. The record is from RNAcentral.